AAGGUAACGAAGAGUUGCAUAGAGCAUA
RNAcentral lists this small RNA (28 nucleotides) under Bombyx mori (domestic silkworm). RNAcentral describes it as "ovarian small RNA-10654". Lineage: Eukaryota; Metazoa; Arthropoda; Insecta; Lepidoptera; Bombycidae. The record is from RNAcentral.